CAAAGCAAGUAAAAAAUUGCACAUAAUGACAACAGAUUUAUCUUUAGAACUGUUUGCAAAACUUUUGGUUUAAAUACAAAAGACCAAGUGAAAAUGAUACUGAAAAGACUGUUCACCGUUUGACUCCUGUGCCAAUCUAACCUAGUGGGUUCAAAAAGAAAGGACCGCGCUGGAAAUGUAUUUCACUCAGCUAAUCAAGUUUCAUUUGCUUUUUUGUAUUACAUUCAAGCAAUAGACUGUUUUUUAUGUUCACUCGUUUUUUAAAAGUCGUAACUAGCUAGAAGUCGUAACCAGCUUGUAUGAACGGAUUUCUUGACGUGAAAUAGUUAAUAUUUCACGUCAAGAAAUAUUAUUCAACAACUCCAAGAAACAGAGUUUAUUCAACAACUCCAAGAAACAGAGCUCGCUCAAGAAACAGGAAAGAAAGAGAAAGAUGAAAAAAUAUUCUGUUGAACAAUACUGUUGUUUUA
This is a non-coding RNA of Hydra vulgaris (swiftwater hydra), 470 nucleotides long. Lineage: Eukaryota; Metazoa; Cnidaria; Hydrozoa; Anthoathecata; Hydridae. The record is from RefSeq and is a predicted model, not a curated record.